AAACUGGAUGGGGUCGAUGGGUGAUUAAGAACACCCGGGGCCUAGAUUAGUGGCUUCCAUUGCACUUGGGAGGAGCACUAUUCUACCAUCUCCUCUUGUGGGAGUGGACAUCAUAAUUUUUUAUAGAGGGGGUACGCGUGCGCACGGCCCCUG
Small nuclear RNA from Lolium perenne, 153 nucleotides. RefSeq annotates it as U1 spliceosomal RNA. The record is from RefSeq and is a predicted model, not a curated record. NCBI's taxonomy places the organism in Eukaryota, Viridiplantae, Streptophyta, Magnoliopsida, Poales, Poaceae.